GAUGUGUUAAGUGUAUGGGCGAUCACG
This 27-nucleotide small RNA is filed under the name Bombyx mori (domestic silkworm). Its description in RNAcentral is "ovarian small RNA-16174". Lineage: Eukaryota; Metazoa; Arthropoda; Insecta; Lepidoptera; Bombycidae. The record is from RNAcentral.